Molecule: ribosomal RNA, 252 nt
Filed under: uncultured bacterium
Lineage: Bacteria
Also listed under: 1 other name
Description: partial 16S ribosomal RNA
Rfam family: Bacterial small subunit ribosomal RNA
Source: RNAcentral
UACGUAAGGUCCGAGCGUUGUCCGGAAUCAUUGGGCGUAAAGGGUACGUAGGCGGAUAAGCAAGUUAGAAGUGAAAUCCUAUAGCUCAACUAUAGUAAGCUUUUAAAACUGCUCAUCUUGAGGUAUGGAAGGGAAAGUGGAAUUCCUAGUGUAGCGGUGAAAUGCGCAGAUAUUAGGAGGAAUACCGGUGGCGAAGGCGACUUUCUGGCCAUAAACUGACGCUGAGGUACGAAAGCGUGGGUAGCAAACAGG